RNAcentral lists this ribosomal RNA (253 nucleotides) under uncultured bacterium. Its description in RNAcentral is "partial 16S ribosomal RNA". It matches the Rfam family "Bacterial small subunit ribosomal RNA", at positions 524 to 776 of the family's 1533-position model. The record is from RNAcentral.
UACGUAUGGUGCAAGCGUUACCCGGAUUUACUGGGUGUAAAGGGAGCGCAGGCGGCACGGCAAGCCUGAUGUGAAAGCCCGCGGCCCAACCGCGGGACUGCAUUGGGAACUACCGGGCUGGAGUGCCGGAGAGGUAGGCGGAAUUCCUAGUGUAGCAGUGAAAUGCGUAGAUAUUAGGAGGAACACCAGUGGCGAAGGCGGCCUACUGGACGGUGACUGACGCUGAGGCUCGAAAGCGUGGGGAGCAAACAGG